This 30-nucleotide non-coding RNA is filed under the name Rattus norvegicus (Norway rat). Lineage: Eukaryota; Metazoa; Chordata; Mammalia; Rodentia; Muridae. The record is from RNAcentral.
UGAAAAACUCCAUGUUCUUUGGCUUCGGGA